AGUCAAAUGUGAUGAAAUAUUGGUAAUUUCUUUUGGUUCAAUCUAACAAAAACAAAGGAAGAAAACACUGCUUCAAAGAGAACGAGUUGGCGGGGGAAGAGAAGCAGUGGGCUGUACGGAGAGAAGGGAACUAGGAAAUGUUUUAGUGCAGAAAAAUAUUUGAAUACAAAAUAUUUUCCCACAAAUAACAUUUACAUGUAAGUCCUGCAAAUGUUGAAGCUGUAAGUCUGUACUCUCCAGAAGCCCAUACCGCUACACCAUCUAUUUGUGGGUGUGGGGCAGCAAGAUGUGUAGUGAACUAGUGCGAAGGAUGGGCAAGCAGGCUGAGAAUCUAGGCUAAAGAAUGGGAAGUUCCACAAGAGGAAGGGAAGCAAACUGAUUUCUUCUGACUUCUGCUUUCAGUAACCUAAUUUCUCCUAUUUCAGAUAUACUUUCAAGUUGAAAAUGAAAGUAAACCAACAGUACAAAUUCUCGGCCAGGCAUGGUGGUGGGCACCUGUGGUCCCAGCUGCUCAGGAGGCUGAAGCAGGAGAACUGCUUGAACCCAGGAGGCAGAGGUUGCAGUGAGCCGAGAUCCAGCCACUGCACUCCAGCCUGGGUGACAGUGAGAUUCUGCCUGAAAAAUAAAUAAAUAAAUAAUGGAAAGUAUACUAAUAACCUUUUUCCCAGGUAGCUGCCGAAGAUGGCAAAGUUGCAGGUCCUGGUGCUUAAUGGUCGAGGCCAUCUCCUGGAUUGCCUGGUGGCCACUGUGGCUAAGCCGGUACUGCUGGGCUGAAGGUGGUGGUCACAUGCUGUGAGGGCAUCAACAUUUCUGGCAAUUUCUACAGAAAUGAGUUGAAGUACCUGGCUUUCCUCCACAAGCGGAUGAACACCAACCCUUCCCGAGGCCCCUAUCACUUCUGGGCCACCAGCCUCUCUAGCAGAGUGUGCGAGGCAUGCCCCCCAAGACCAAGCAAGGCCAGGCCACCCUGGAGUGCCUCAAGGUGCUUGACAGCAUCCUACCAUCCCAUGACAAGAAAAAGUGGAUGGUGGUUCCUGCUGCCCUCAAAGUUGUGUGUCUGAAGCAUAUAAGAAAGUCUUCAUAUCUGGGGCACCUGGCUCACGAGGUUAGCUGGAAGUACCCCGCAGUGACAGCUACCCUGGAGGAGAAGAGGAAGGAGAAAGCCAAGAUCCACUACCAGAAGAAGAAACAGCUCAUGAGGCUAUGGAAAUAGGCUGAGAAGAAUGUGGAGAAGGAAACUGACAAAUACACAGAAGUCCUCCAGACCCACGGACUCCUGGUCUGAGCCCAAUGAAGGCUGUUAAUUCCUCA
This is an RNA transcript of Cebus imitator (Panamanian white-faced capuchin), 1311 nucleotides long. It is a transcript of the gene named 60S ribosomal protein L13a-like, with no coding region annotated. The record is from RefSeq and is a predicted model, not a curated record. The transcript has a single exon. NCBI's taxonomy places the organism in Eukaryota, Metazoa, Chordata, Mammalia, Primates, Cebidae.